GAAUAUUGGACAAUGGGGGGACCCUGAUCCAGCCAUGCCGCGUGUGUGAAGAAGGCCGUCUGGUUGUAAAGCACCUUAAGCGAGGAGGAGGCUACUUAGCUUAAUACUCUUGGAUAGUGGACGUUGACAGCAGAAUAACCUCCGGCUCACUAUGUGCCAGCAGCCGCAGUAAUACAGAGGGUGCACGCGUUAAUCGGAGUUACUGGUCGUAAUGCGCGCGUAGGUGGCCAAUUAAGUAAAAUGUGAAAUCCCCGAGCUUAACUUGGGAAUUGCAUUCGAUACUGGUUGGCUAGAGUAUGGGAGAGGAUGGUAGAAUUCCAGGUGUAGCGGUGAAAUGCGUAGAGAUCUGGAGGAAUACCGAUGGCGAAGGCAGCCAUCUGGCCUAAUACUGACACUGAGGUGCGAAAGCAUGGGGAGCAAACA
RNAcentral lists this ribosomal RNA (423 nucleotides) under uncultured bacterium. RNAcentral describes it as "partial 16S ribosomal RNA". It matches the Rfam family "Bacterial small subunit ribosomal RNA", at positions 359 to 774 of the family's 1533-position model. The record is from RNAcentral.